This is a long non-coding RNA of Orcinus orca (killer whale), 3472 nucleotides long. RefSeq lists it as uncharacterized. The record is from RefSeq and is a predicted model, not a curated record. Lineage: Eukaryota; Metazoa; Chordata; Mammalia; Artiodactyla; Delphinidae. The transcript is spliced from 3 exons.
AUGAAUAUAUGUAUAUGUAUAACUGAUUCACUUUGUUAUAAAGCAGAAACUAACACACCAUUGUAAAGCAAUUAUACCCCAAUAAAGAUGUUAAAAAAAAAAAACCUACUGUAUAGCACAGGGAACUCUACUCAAUAUUCUGUGAUAAGCUAUAUGAAAAAAGAAUCUGAAAAAGAAUGAAUAUAUGUAUAUGUAUAACUGAAUCACUUUGCUGUACACCUGAAACUAACACAAUAUUGUAAAUUAACUAUAAUCCAAUAAAAUUUUUUAAAAAGUAAUGAAGCACUGAUCCCUGCUACAACAUCGAUAUACCUUGAAAACAUUAUGCUUCAUGAAAAGAGCCAGUCAGAAAGACCACAUAUUGUUUGAUUCCUUUCAUAUGAGAUGUCCAGAAUAGGCAAAUCCGUAAAGGCAGAAAGUAUAUUAGUGGUUUCCAUUGGCUGGUGGGAAGGAGGAAAUGGGGAUGACUACUACUGGGUGUGGGGUUUCUUUGUGGGGUGAUGAAAAUGUUCUGGAAUUAGGCAGUGGUGAUGGUUGCACAGUCUUGUAAAUGUACUGUAAAAAUCACUGAAUUGUAUACUUUAAAAUGGUGAGUUCAGGGACUUCCCUGGCGGUCUAGUGGUUAAGACUCUGCGCUCACAGUGCAGUGGGCAUGGGUUCCAUCCCUGGUUGGGGAACGUAGGAUCUGGCGUGCAGCACGGCCUGGCCAAAAAAAAAAAAAAAGAAAAAGAAAAAUGAUGAGUUUUUUUGGUAUAUGAAUUAAAUCUCAAUAAAAAAUAUCAGACCUCUAAAACUGCUUGGUACUUCCUUGCAAACGAAUAUAAGCAGAUGUUUUAAUGACCUAGAAUUCCACUUAUCAAAUUAGAGGCUGAGAUAUAAAUGCAACUCACUUCUUUGGAUUCCCAGCAUGAGACAGAAAGGCUAAAGUAAGCCCUGUUGUGUCUUAAAAGUAUACUCUUUCCUACAAAUGAAAUUCAAAUGCAAUAGUACAUGUUUUUUGAGAAUAUGCUUAAAUAUUGUUUAUGAAUUUGCCAUUCCUCUUCUCAUGUGAGAAAACUAUGUAACUCUCUUCAAAACAAUUUUGUGUGUUUGAGAUGUGUUUAAAAUAGCAAAUUUAAAAGAUGGAAAAACCUCUUUACACAGAGCUGCAAUUGCUUAAAAAUUGUCAGUGUGUACAUAUUUGAGAAUUUUUGUUGCAUGUUAAAGGUUGAUUCAUCAGAAAGGAAAUGGAAACAGAAGAGUGAAUGGUAUAGAAAGGAAAGAGAGCAGGAGCUUCCUACAUAGAGUCAUGGUUACCCAGCUGCGCAGCUUGCAGAUCUUAGUUCCCUGCUGUGGAAGCGCGGGGUCCUAACCACUGGACCGCCAGGGAAGUCCCUCAGGUAAUGUUUACUAACGUGAAUGAAGCGCUGCUGAGACUUGCUCAUGUUUUUAAAAAGAUGAGGAUGGUGAUGACUCAGUGGCAAGAUCUUUUGGCCGAGAAUUCAUCUUGAAAAUACUUGUACUAACCUAGCAACACACAUGUAACAAGGGGAAACAGCCCAAAUAGGCUUAAGAUAAAGCAGGAGAGAUUUUUAGGAUUUUAGUAAGCAAGACUUUCUCUUUCUUUCUUUCUUUCUUUCUUUCUUUCUUUCUUUCUUUCUUUCUUUCUUUCUUUCUUUCUUUCUUCCUUCCUUUCUUUCUUUCUUUCUUUCGUCAAGAUGAUUAAACACUGGAAUGAGCUAUAGAGGUAGAUUAUUGAGAAGAUUUGGAGGGGUGGACAAUUCAUUCAUUCAAAGGAAAACUGGGAGGCAAAGUAAAGGAAGGGGGAAAAGUUUAAGUAUGAGGGAUUUGGCAUUUAUCCAUGGAAAACAGAGGAAGGCGGAUACAAUCUUUUUUUUUUUCUUGCACUUUUUGGUCUCUCAACUAUGUAUGGCUUCCCCAGCAGGAUGAAGAGCUUGUGGUGGGUGGAGCUGCUUCUUCGCUGUGUUGUAGAGCCAUCAAUCAGGCCAAUAAAAUAAAAGAAGGCAGCAGAUGUUUUUCUCCCCAAAGAAGGGGUUGGAAUGGUUACCGAGUAACUGUUUUUCUGGUAAUGUCCAUAUACCUUCAGUCACAAAACGAUACAAACAAACAACCGUAGCUCUGAUAUACUUCACCCAAAGGAAUGUUGUGGGUGACGGGUAGGGAAGGACGUGCUAUUACGAAGAAGGGGCAACGGGAGUUGGAAAAAAAUAUAGGCUCGAACAUGUGGCAGGACAGGAAGUAAAAGAAUAAAAAUAAGUGGUGCAAAAAGUCACUGAAGGAAAAAUAUGAAAACCAAAAAAAAAAAAAAGUUAGUGGGACACUCACUACAUAGAAAACAAGUUUGGAAGUUUGUGAUUAGAUUCUUGGAGGAGAGUGUAGACUGUGGCAUAUACUGCACAAAAAGCUGAUGAUCAAAGCCAGUAUAGAACACGUCAAUCCCAGAAACAUCGGAGCUUGGACUGCUCGUUCACGCAAUAAUUUUAGGUGUCCAAGAGCAGGAAUCUGUAUUUUUAAUAAGUGCUUCUACUGAUUCUUAAGAUCAAGCAAGUUUGGGAAGCACUCUCCUGUAAGGUAGUAGAAGGAGUUUCCAUCAAAAUGUGAAACAUCAAAUGAUUUCACUUGAAAGACAACUCAUACAAAAGACAGAAGGAGAAGCGAGAUAAAAGACUGAAAUUUUGAUUUGGGGAAUAAGUAAUUAUUUUUUUGCCCUGCUUGCUCCCAAAAUGAUUUAAGGUUGCACGGUUAUAAUAUUAAUAAUGAAAGUGCUUUCUAUCAGCUUGGCACUAUACGUGUAUUUUAUUAUUUGAUGCCCACAACGACCCCCUGAGGUAGAAAGUACAAUUGUUAUCUCCAUUUUACAGAUGAGGAAACUGAGACUCAGAGAGGUUAAACUAGGAAAAGGUGGAGCUGGGAUCCAGAGCCUCUGCUGAUCUGAAUUGUUUCACGAAACUGCUUACAAACAUGGAAACAGACCGAUCCAAAAAGCCCAGAAACAGCAACAAAAAACACAACUAAGUGAAGAAAUUUGGAUGAAGAAAAAAUAAGGGAAGGAAAAUGGGUGAAGCUGGGAUAGGGUCCUGUUCAUUGAUUACACAUUUGGCUCUAAGCUUUCCAACGGUCAGAGGGAGAAAGGAAACAUCUCUUGAUUCAGAGCAUCUAUAAGAUAAAAGCAAACCUGCUUUUUAGGAGAAACAUAACGAUUUCUGGUAGAAUUUCCUGAGAGAAAUGUCCCAUGUGGACAUUUCUCCUCAAAAAGAGGAGAAAUGCUUCUAUUGAAUGUGUUUUUGUCACAGGAGAAAGGAAACUUUACUGUAUUAAGUUUUUAAAGCUUGGGAAAGCAAAUGUUUAAAAAAGGAAAUAAUUUAAAGAUGGAUUAUAAUAUCAUUCCCUUGUAAAUAUGUUUUACAGUUCACACUUCUUAUAAUAAAAGAACUGCAUGUGGAGUUUUUGUCUUUGGAGAUCUUAAAGAGAA